Molecule: non-coding RNA, 185 nt
Rfam family: 6S / SsrS RNA
About the family: E. coli 6S RNA was the first non coding RNA to be sequenced, but its function was unknown until recently.
Source: Rfam
ACAGUCCUGAUGUGUUCGUCUCAUUGCCUGUUGUUUUGACCGAACAGCUAUAUAUUAGGGAGCUUGAAGUUUUUAACUGGCGUAUAUGCCUUUCAUAAGGACGUACAAAUGUUAGAUUAGAGCACCCACCUGCCGAGAGCGGGUUCAAAACUUAGGAACUUAAGGACGGCACGAUUGGGACAUGU